This 257-nucleotide ribosomal RNA is filed under the name uncultured bacterium. Its description in RNAcentral is "partial 16S ribosomal RNA". It matches the Rfam family "Bacterial small subunit ribosomal RNA", at positions 524 to 776 of the family's 1533-position model. The record is from RNAcentral.
UACGAAGGGGGCUAGCGUUGCUCGGAAUGACUGGGCGUAAAGGGCGCGUAGGCGGCUUGCACCGUCAGAUGUGAAAUUCCUGGGCUUAACCUGGGGCUGGCAUUUGAUACGUGUGGGCUUGAGUUGCGGAAGAGGGUCGUGGGAAUUCCCAGUGUAGAGGUGGAAAAUGCGCAGAUAUCGUAAGGAAGACCAGUGGCGAAGGCGGGUCUCUGGACAGUUCCUGACGCUGAGGCACGAAGGCCAGGGGAGCAAACGGG